GCAGUCAGGCGCGUAGCAAGCCAUUUUUUUCCUGUAAGCCCGAUAGGUAUCAGGGCUUUAUAUUUAGAUGGUAUUUAGGACUUGUCCAACCUUUUUAGCAACAAUCAUGUAUAAGCCCGGGCCUUUUUUAUAAUGGUAGCUGCCCCCCUGGCAGUGUAUGAAAUAAGCCAAGAACCCACCCACACAUCAGGGCUGUUAACUUUUAAAAUGUUACCAGCCCAAAAUGGAUUUAACCAGACCAGACAACAAGAUAUUGUGAAUAUAC
Molecule: long non-coding RNA, 265 nt
Organism: Haliotis rubra (blacklip abalone)
Lineage: Eukaryota; Metazoa; Mollusca; Gastropoda; Lepetellida; Haliotidae
Exons: 3
Source: RefSeq, a predicted model, not a curated record